RNAcentral lists this ribosomal RNA (621 nucleotides) under Neurosymploca concinna. RNAcentral describes it as "partial 12S ribosomal RNA". The record is from RNAcentral. Lineage: Eukaryota; Metazoa; Arthropoda; Insecta; Lepidoptera; Zygaenidae.
UGCGGUUAAACAAAAGUUAAAUUAAAUUUUUUUGAGGUUUAAUAAUUAAAAUUAUUUAAAUAAAAUAAAUAUUAGAUUAUUAAGUGAAAUUUUAAUUUAUUUAAAAUUUAUUUAAUUUUUAAGACAUUAAUAAAUUUUAUUUAAAACUAGGAUUAGAUACCCUACUAUUAAAAUUUAAAAUUAAAAUCUUAAAAUAGUAUAUAUGUAUUUAUAAUUUAAAUUAUAUUUAUAUUGAAACUUAAAUAAUUUGGCGGUAUUUUAGUUCAUUUAGAGGAAUCUGUUUAAUAAUUGAUAAUCCACGAAUAAAUUUACUUAAUUUAUAUAAUUUUGUAUAUCGUUGUUAUAAAAAUAUUUUUUAGUAAAAAUAAUAUUUUAAAUUUUAUAUGUAAAGUUAAAUCAGAUCAAGAUGCAGAUUAUAAUUAAGAAUAUUAAUGGAUUACAAUAAACUUUAUUUUUGGAUGUUAAUAUUGAAAGUUAAUUGAAAUUGGAUUUAAAUGUAAUUUUAUUUAUAUUUUUAAAAUGAUUAAAAAUUAAAAUAUGUACAUAUUGCCCGUCGCUUUCAUAUAUAAGUUGAAAUAAGUCGUAACAAAGUAGAGGUACUGGAAAGUGUUUCUAGAAAGA